Molecule: non-coding RNA, 24 nt
Filed under: Mus musculus (house mouse)
Lineage: Eukaryota; Metazoa; Chordata; Mammalia; Rodentia; Muridae
Source: RNAcentral
UCAGAGGGAUUGAAAACCAGGCUG